GAUUGGAAGAAUUAGAACGCUCUUCCAGUUCGAGUAUCAGUGGUGUGGAACCCGAGGAAGGCCAGAGGAGUAACGUUCCCUCAGCAGCAAGACCAGGAACAGCCAGUCAUUCUUCUAUGGGCCGACAUCCUGUUGAUGCUGAAGUGUCGAGGCUGUUUGCACCCUACACUAGGCAGGCUGGUGGUGCUACGGGUUGGUCAAGACAACCAAGGCGUGCCAACAACCAGCAAACGAGUUAUGCCGGUGCACCUUCUCACACACCCAGAUUUACAUACACGCACACAUUUUGUGCCUUUGCCCGUAAAGACUGUGCAGUGGUGCCCACAAGGGCUGAGAAGGAGCGCGUACUAAGAGCAGGAUUGGGGGAGAGGCGCCUGUGCUUUCGAGGUGACCUACACAGCCCACAGCAGUUUACAGAAUUUGUAUAUAUAAAUUAUCCAAAGUUGAGAGAUGCAGGGGGGUUUGAGUUUAUGCGGAUUUUUGGCAACACCAGGAGUCGACAGCUGUCACUUCUCCCUUGUCCAGAUGAGGGCGACACUGCCCAAUACUUGAAGGAUCCUGUUCUCCUCAUCCACCAUACCACAUUAUACAUUCGCCCCCUUCAGUGUAAUGUCAGCACAGAACAGGUA
Long non-coding RNA from Fundulus heteroclitus (mummichog), 629 nucleotides. RefSeq lists it as uncharacterized. The record is from RefSeq and is a predicted model, not a curated record. Lineage: Eukaryota; Metazoa; Chordata; Actinopteri; Cyprinodontiformes; Fundulidae. The transcript is spliced from 5 exons.